RNAcentral lists this long non-coding RNA (666 nucleotides) under Durio zibethinus. RNAcentral's name for it is "long non-coding RNA (DZIB_LNC000583)". The record is from RNAcentral. Lineage: Eukaryota; Viridiplantae; Streptophyta; Magnoliopsida; Malvales; Malvaceae.
AUCAUUAUUUUCGUCUAAUUAUUGGUUUAAUUAGAUAAAAAUUAAUACUUAAGGAUUCAAUUUAAAAAAAUAAAUAUUUAAAUAUUUAAUUAAAUAAAAAAUACAUAUUUAAGAGUCGAAUCUUAUUAUAUUUUUAUUAAUAAUUUUUUAUACUUAAGCCAACAAUAUUCUAUACCAUUCAAGAUAAUAAUUAAAAAAAAAUUGGUGCGAGGUGCUAAUUAGACUUUGUUGGGCCAAAUUGUUUGACAAUUAUCGAAUCAAGGUGCCGCAGCUUUGGCAACCAAAACCGGCGUGAUUUAAGUAAAAAAAUUGACUCCAAUCAUGUCACAGGACGUCUCAUUUCAAUCCAAGCGUGGUCUAAAUAAAUCUCAUAUUCUCUUCAUGGGUUUUGAUUUUUCAACUGACGAAUAAAAUUUUUCAAAACAAUAAGGUUUUUAAUUAGUUUUCAGACUUUAAGGACAUGGGAAGGAACACGAUAGACAAUAGGAAUGUGUGUCGAACAUUCAUUCACGUCCAAAAGACGUGGCAAAAAAUAUAAACGUGGACCCCAAUUUCUAACAUGUUUCUUAAUACUGUAAUAAAAAAUUAUUUUCUUAUACCGUAGCUCCUGGUUUUUGGGAGAGUAAAACUGGCGACUGGUUUUUGGUUUUUCUUGUUAGGGAUAAU